Molecule: non-coding RNA, 72 nt
Organism: Podarcis lilfordi (Lilford's wall lizard)
Lineage: Eukaryota; Metazoa; Chordata; Lepidosauria; Squamata; Lacertidae
Source: the annotation of a GenBank genome assembly
GAGGCUGUGGUUCAAUGGCAGGAUGCCUGCCUCGCAAGCAGAAGGCGCCCGGUUCAAUGCCCAGCAGCAUCC